GACGAACGCUGGCGGCGUGCUCAACACAUGCAAGUCGAGCGGUAAGGCCCUUUCGGGGGUACACGAGCGGCGAACGGGUGAGUAACACGUGGGUGACCUGCCCUCAGCUCUGGGAUAAGCCUGGGAAACUGGGUCUAAUACUGGAUAUGACUCCACGGUGCAUGUCGUGGGGUGGAAAGCCUUGUGCGGCUGAGGAUGGGCCCGCGGCCUAUCAGCUUGUUGGUGGGGGAUGGCCUACCAAGGCGACGACGGGUAGCCGGCCUGAGAGGGCGACCGGCCACACUGGGACUGAGACACGGCCCAGACUCCUACGGGAGGCAGCAGUGGGGAA
RNAcentral lists this ribosomal RNA (331 nucleotides) under uncultured bacterium. RNAcentral's name for it is "bacterial SSU rRNA". It matches the Rfam family "Bacterial small subunit ribosomal RNA", at positions 28 to 361 of the family's 1533-position model. The record is from RNAcentral.